GAAUACAGAUGCCUGUCGAGCUUGCUCACGGGCUUUCUAUCAUAUCCAUAACACCUGUGCACUUGUUGGAUGAUCUAAAGACAUAGGGUAAAACCUAAAGUUAAUAGUCAUCCACUUACACUAAACAAUAAUGUAACAAAUGUAGUCUUAUUAUAACAAAAUAAAACUUUCAACAACGGAUCUCUUGGCUCU
This 192-nucleotide unclassified non-coding RNA is filed under the name rhizosphere metagenome. Its description in RNAcentral is "partial ribosomal RNA internal transcribed spacer region". The record is from RNAcentral.